CAGACCGGCACAGCGCCUGCAGAGGGCUGGAAGCUGAGUCCAGAGGGCAGAGAUGCUUCUGUUCCCACCCAACCUCCUGAGCCACUCUCUCCUGCAGUGUGGCUGCUCCAUGUGUGCCGUGCCCCAACCACACACUGCCCCACUCACUGACCAUCCAACUCCCAGUGAAACUCUUCUGCUUUUUCUGCAUUUGCAAACUCUCGCAUGCAUCCACAGGUGGAAGCUUUUAUGGAUUUUAAAGCUCAAGACAUCUAUCUGAAAGGCACAGAUAGCUCAAUACCCAUUAGGGGUAUGCGCUUCCAGGUCUUCCCAGGUGAAACAUUUAUCUGUCAUUUCCACCGAGGAAACAUAAAGCUAAGAAGCAGAGCCCGCAUUCACGCCAUUCGCACUUUGCUAAGUCACCGGGGGCUGCGUCCAACUCCCACCGCCUGAGAGCACUGGCACAGCCGAGCACCCUCAGCUCACUGCUCCGGAUCGGGCUACGAUAUCACUUCGAACCACCAAUCGACGCGACCUCAGGGACUACAGAUGCCACGUGGGAAGCGCCUGGGCAGCCGGCCGCGUGCGAAACCUGGAUGUCUUCCUGCAAGCCCCUGGGAUAGCUGAAACCAGAGGGACACUAAGCAGAAACCAUAAAGUCACAUUUCUGAAAUGCUUUAGUCAUCAAAGCUCUGUGCAAGUAAAUCUGCUGCAGCUGGAGAAGAUGCACGGAGAUCUGACAGAGUGGGCAGCAGAGGGCUGCACUGUGGAGAGCCUGCAGGUCGUCCCCAGCACAGCCAGGGGAACCAACCAUACCUGUGUGUUACGGACAUCCACGACAAGGCAGUUCCAUAGAAGAUUUAUUUUCAGAAGCAAAGUCUUUCUGGCAGUGAUUUCGAAUCACACCGUAACAGCAGCACCACUCAAGCAGAACGUGUUUUCCAAUGGCUCAUCUACCCCACGCGUGCACCCAGAGCAGCAGACCUCCCCAGAGAGAAUUCCAUCCACAAAUGGCAAAGAUUUGCUGAUCAGACAAAAUAUAGGUAUCAUCAUGAAAGCAUUCAUCGUUUGCAUCCUGUUAGCUCCCAUGAUAUGCUACAUCAUAUGUUUCAUACAUGAAAUAAGCCACUUGUGCUCGUGCCGUGACCGGAUCGGCAGCAGAUGGAGCAGAAGCAAAUGCGUAUCUGCAGCCUCCGUGCCAGCGGAUCGCCAGGCAGGAACACUCUCAGCCCAGCUACCUGAGAACAGAAAGGAGAAGUCAGCACUAUGUUUUGCCUGACUCUCAGAAUCCCUUCCACAGAUCCUUACAUGAGAAGAUCCCAAAUUGUUGUUAUCCACAAAACCUACUUACGAAAUGCAGGCUUUAGAGAAACACCCUUUCACCAACAAAAAAUGCAUCGUCUUCCUCCUCACCACUUACUGGAAAAAGCAGAUUGAACAUCAGCAGCUUAAAUAACCACAGCUUCAACCGCUGCAGACUGAAACCAGACAUGAGAAGCAACAUCUACCUGGUUCGGAGCAAUCACAUCAAUUCACUGCAAAAUGAGCUGCUGGGAAGACACGCACAUGCCAAUUCCUUCCAUUAACUACCUGGAUUCAUAUUUUAAUUCCCAGAUACUAGAAAAACCUGUUGGCAUAAGCAAUAAAUACU
Long non-coding RNA from Tympanuchus pallidicinctus (lesser prairie-chicken), 1630 nucleotides. RefSeq lists it as uncharacterized. The transcript is spliced from 7 exons. Lineage: Eukaryota; Metazoa; Chordata; Aves; Galliformes; Phasianidae. The record is from RefSeq and is a predicted model, not a curated record.